CCCACGCAGGUCACAACGCUGUGCUUCUUCUCACUACCUUAGCCACAAUUCGGGCCAGAGCGGCAAAAUUGUUCCGAUGCAUACUGAAUAAGUGCGAGUAUGGGGGGGAAUUCUUCAGGCCUGGCCACAGUACUAUGGUGACACUUUUUGUGGGGCUCCCAAGACAGAUGGGGAAAGCUUCAUUAAAUUCACUCCUUGCUAUUAAAGGAAACGUGAAGUAGAGGGUUUAGAUACCACAAAACUUCAUCAUGGCCUUUCUGUCCUCCUAUCUUCUAGCUCUUGGAGACACUUCCGGUGACCUGGCCAAUACAUACAGUCGGCCGGGCGUCCCCUUGCUUUAUUGCUCAGAGACCCUUAGCAAGAUGUUUCCGCCACCAUAGGCAGGRGUGCUUGCGUAAACUUUUCCUUCUCUUAAGCGGGGAAAGCUCUCUCUCACUUCCGCUCUCUGGCCUGCUGGCCCCGCCUCCCUGCCCCCCGCUGGGUCCUAGCGCCUUCCCCUUUCUGGUAGUGUUCUGGGCUCUGUUGGUGCGUGAAGCCGACGCAGAUGCCACGGAGCCAGUCCAAGUCGGAUCAGUUGCAUCAACUCACCAGAUUUCUCCUGGCCUGAGAGGUUUAUGUGAUGACURUUUUCUUAAAGAUGGGGAGACUUAAAUGCCUCCUUUUUCACCUCAUCCCUGCUUCCAGACUAAGCUUUUGGGGGAAUUCAAUCUCUGCAUAUCUUGUGAUUACAGGUAACAGACUUGAGAGGUGGGGACAUGAGAUUAAGAGAUAAUUCUGUAGCCUGGGCCCACUGUGCUGGUCCCCACAUGCUUG
This 813-nucleotide long non-coding RNA is filed under the name Urocitellus parryii (Arctic ground squirrel). RNAcentral describes it as "lncRNA (ENSUPAG00010019684.1)". Lineage: Eukaryota; Metazoa; Chordata; Mammalia; Rodentia; Sciuridae. The record is from RNAcentral.